UAAAAGGCAAUGUACACUUCAAUACACUCGAAUUGCUGUAAAGCACCAGACUUCCUGAAUGUUCCUCCACCCAUCAGAGAAGAAACUCCUGUUUCUCACCAGCACACACUCGUAGCUUCACUCCUCCCCCUGACUGACUGACAUUAACAUGUUAUUAAUAUGCAAACAGGUGGAAGCACGGAUACGUAGUUCUCUCUCACUACAGGGACAUACUGGAGUUUUUCUACAAUUGAAAGAUUUACAGAUGUUCAUAUGAUCUAUGUGUAGGCACGCCUGAAAGCUGACACGCUACAGAUUCUCACCAGCUUUUAGUCAUGCUCGUAUGUUAAAACCCCGUCAUGAUGUUACGUGAGAAAGAAGAUACAAGGGAUCUGACCAUGGUGGAGCUCGCCGGCGAUUCUCACGUCCCCAGGGGGUUAACACACCUUCCAUAAAAAGCAGGUAGUGUGUUCUAUAGCCAUGUUUCAUAUUUACUGUAAUAAACUCACAUUCCAUGCAAGUAGCUUUAAUUUGUUAGCAUACAUUAGUGAUGUAUAUUUACCUUCAGUAAGCGACAUCGUCAUUAUAGAUUUAACAAGCAACUGUCUGAAUGCUCUCCAUCCACUUUAAUAAGAACACCUGCUCACUGAAUGUAGCUAUUCAAUCAGCCAACGAUAAGGCAGCAGCACAAUGGAAGAGCUACAACAGCUGAAGACCUCAGCAGGUUCCUCACCUAUUAGACAGGAACAGGAAUCUGAGGCUUUCGCGGGUGCACUCCCCUACAUACACACAGUUGAAUCUUCAGCUGUGCCAUUUAGGCGAGUCUGCACCCACGAUAGAUCCAGAGUCCUGUUCGUGUGGUCUUCUGCUGUUGUCGUCGUCCAUCCACUUCAAGGUUCAACGUGUUGUGCGUUCUACACUAAAGUCACAUCCUCUAAUAAACUCGGCACUAGUUUCUCAGCUGUUUCAUGCAAACGAUCCGAUUUUCCACGAACAUUGCAGGUAUUAAAGAGUUUGCUGUGCGAACUGAAGUCAAUCUCCUCACCGUUUCUUUCAUUCGUAACAUUACUGUUCAACGGGUAAGAGUUAGUAAUGCCGCAGUACACACGGUAGGUGCCGAAAUACAGCGAGCGCGGGCGCAAUACAACUCCAGGUGUGUACGCGGACCAGGUCGCGGGAGCCGACGCAGAUCUAUUCUACACUAAAACUUUUUCCUGGUACGGAAACGAAACUGCGUCAGAGUACGGAUUUCCCUUUGUGCUCUUGGUGUGAUCUUUGAAGGAAACCCACUCCUAGAGAGAGUAUCAACAGUCGUGAAUUUCCUCCAUUUGCAGACAGAGUCUUAUCAUGGAUUGAUGAACACCCAGGUCUUUAAAAUGCUUGUGUAGUCUCUUCCAGCUUCGUGCAUCUCUAUAAUGUCAUCUAGGAUCCUGUGAAAGUCGAUGGGAUCGAGGCAUGGUUCACACUAAGCAACUGUUCUUGAGAACAACAGAUUUGUAAGUAACCAGACUUUGUGUCUCUUUACAUGAAGGGCAAAACACCCGUACUUCCAAUCUGAUUCCAGCUAAUGGAAAGACCUUAUUCCACCUGAAGGCUUGCUGCUGAUGCCAGGGACUGCGGGGCAGGUCUGGUCCUCCUGCAGGCCGGCCCAGAUGGAAUUGACCAGCCAGUUUGUUUUUAUUAAAGAAUUCCACCAGCAUCAGUGAGUUUAUUCCACCAUAGAGAAAGAGUUCCCGGUCCCAGCACUCCAACAUUUUGGAGGGUAUUUGGGGUCAUUAUCUAACCCCAUCCAGGUUUAAACAGACCACUUGUCUUCAUCAACAGGAUAUGGAAUCAGAACUGAUAAUGAGGUGGAGUUUAACAGUCCUUCCACCUUAACAUUACCCACACCUGUGUGAAGGAUAUCAUUGCUGAUGUGCUGUCUAGAGUGUAAACAUUUGUUUUCUCUGUCUAUAUGUUGUGUAUUUUGUCUGUGUACUCUUUCUCCAGCUCUUUCUAGCUCUCUCUGUUUUCCUAGGGCCCAGGAGGACCAAAAAGCUUGGAAUGGAACUGCAGGAGGUGUGAGGUGUUACGACCCCCAGCACUCUCUCCGGUCCUGAUAUCAGUGCAGUAGCGGUCUGGGUGGCAGUUUAGACCUACAUGUGGAGGUGUUUGGGUAUAACGGGGGGACGCGUCCGCUUCCUCUCUCUCUCUCUCGCACGCUUACACACGCGCAUGUGCACACUGACACUCACUCAGUCGGACAUCCUCAUACUCCCUCAUUAGACAUCCUCGAGGUGACGAUC
Long non-coding RNA from Ictalurus punctatus (channel catfish), 2264 nucleotides. The record is from Ensembl. NCBI's taxonomy places the organism in Eukaryota, Metazoa, Chordata, Actinopteri, Siluriformes, Ictaluridae.